UCACUUUUCUUCAUUUCUUCAAAGUAUGGACGAUUUUUGGGGAGCUUCAAGAGGGGAUUUUCAUCAUAAAUGUGAAGGUAAGUUAUCCCCACCUAUUUUGAGUUAAGUACAUCAAUUAUGUAUGGAUUUGAGCAUGAAAAUUGUAGAAAAAUUGAGGAUUUAGGCCUAGGGAUUUGAAAAUAAGAUUUGGUGAUUUGAGGGGUCAAAUGAACUUCGAUUUUGGUAAAUUUUAUAUGUACGGACUCGUGGUGAGACGAGGAAUCCGGUGAUAUGACUUUCGUAAUUUUUUGAGAAGUGGGCCCAGGGCUCGGGUUUUGCGAAUUUCGUGAUUUUCGAUAUUUUUCGAGUCUUUUCGAUUGGGUUAUAUUCCCUUAGCCUAUUGUAAUAUAUUCCUUGUGGUUUUGGAAAGAUUCGACGCGUGAGGAGGUCGAUUCGAAAGGAAAGGGCAUCACGGAGUAGACUUUUGGCCAUCUUGAGGUGAGUAAUAGAUGUAAAUGUUGUUCUGAGGGUUUGAAACCCCGGACUUUCACAUCGUAACGCUAUAUUGAGGCGUGACACGCACUCCAUGGCGAGUGCGGGGUCGGAUAUGGUGAUUGUGACUUGGUCCAUCCCGUGUGAUGUUUAUACUAUACUGGUGAUUGAUACACAUAAUUCAUUGAUAUUACUGGGCUUGAUGCAAUGUUUGGG
Molecule: long non-coding RNA, 687 nt
Filed under: Nicotiana tabacum (common tobacco)
Lineage: Eukaryota; Viridiplantae; Streptophyta; Magnoliopsida; Solanales; Solanaceae
Description: long non-coding RNA (NTAB_LNC019251)
Source: RNAcentral